RNAcentral lists this small nuclear RNA (135 nucleotides) under Suricata suricatta (meerkat). RNAcentral's name for it is "U2 spliceosomal RNA (ENSSSUG00005013057.1)". It matches the Rfam family "U2 spliceosomal RNA". Rfam says of the family: U2 is a small nuclear RNA (snRNA) component of the spliceosome (involved in pre-mRNA splicing). The record is from Rfam by way of RNAcentral. Lineage: Eukaryota; Metazoa; Chordata; Mammalia; Carnivora; Herpestidae.
AUUGCUUCUCAGCCUUUUGGCUAAGAUCAAGUGUAGUAUCUGUUCUUAUCAGUUUAAUAAAAUGGCCUGCCUUACCUAUCUCCCCACCUGUAUAAAUCCUUCAUAAUGCAGACUGAAUAUAUUACCCAAGCCAUC